AAGAGGAGGAGAGGCGCGACUGGAGCGGCGCAGCGUCGGCUUCCCGGUGGUGGACGCAGCUAGCAACUGCAGGCGACGCUGGCCAAACGGACCGGACUCGGGUUUCCCAAAAGUCAGGCUGGAGAGGUUUGGCACCACCCAAGACCACUCAGCAGAACCCUCAUCACCCGCCCACCCCCCUCUUCUGGCAUCAUCAUCUUCCUGGCAACUGGCCCGUUUUGGUCACUCCCUGCCGUCGGCUGGUCCCGUCUCAUCCUCACAGCCCCUCUGAGGUGCUUUUGUGUGCAGGUGGGCAAACCUCACCGAGCAGGGUUGUUGUAAGAGUCAAAUGGGAGUGUGGAUAGAGUUGAUUGUUCAUUCAACAAGCGCCCACCAUAUGCAAGGCACCCUCUUAGGCAGCAGGGAGGCCACAACAAGUGAGACUACAAUCCAGUUGGAAGGAAGGGGCUUAAGACCAGAGCAGUGAACAGCAGCAGCUUUGGAGCCAGAGAGACCUGGGUACGAAUCCCACUCUGCUACUUACUAGCUGUGUGACCUUGGGCAGGCUUCCCAGCCUCCCUCUUCCUCAGAUCUGUCAAUCGGGAACAGGAAAGCUAAGAGACUGAGGCAAAGCAAUAAAGAUAACUGGCUUGCCUGAUACUGAGCACUUAGUACGAGCUCAGUGAAUGUGCCUGUUUGUGCAAAGCGCUGACGAGGCGGGUGGAGAGGAGGGGGCCACUCUGCCUGGGGGUGGGCGCUGAAUGGGACAAGAAGGGCUGUAUCCUGAAGGCUCCGAGGGGUCGGUGAAGGUCUGAAGGUUAGACAGGGACAGCAUUUGUGUCUCAGAAAGAUCCCUCUGGCUCAACUGAGGGACAAGACCAGAGCCAGGCCCUGGCCAGCGUGGCCUGGUUGGUU
This is a long non-coding RNA of Phyllostomus discolor (pale spear-nosed bat), 894 nucleotides long. RefSeq lists it as uncharacterized. The transcript has 3 exons. Lineage: Eukaryota; Metazoa; Chordata; Mammalia; Chiroptera; Phyllostomidae. The record is from RefSeq and is a predicted model, not a curated record.